CAAUAGCGUAUAUUGAAGUUGUUGCGGUUAAAAAGCUCGUCGUUGGAUUUCUGUUGAGGUCGAACAGUGCCGCCCUAUGGGUGCGCAACUGGCUCGGCUUCGGCAUCUUCUUGGAGAGCGCAUCUGCACUUAACUGUGUGGAUCGUACUUCAAGUCGGUUACUUUGAGGAAUUGUGAGUGUUUCAAGCAGGCUUACGCCGUUGAAUCCGUUAGCAUGGAAUAAUAGGAUAGGACUUUGGUUCUAUUUGUUGGUUGUUCGAGAACCGGAGUAAUGAUUGAUAGGGACGGUUGGGGGCAUCCGUAUUCUCAAGCGAGAGGUGAAAUUCUUGGACCUUGGGAAGACGAACAGCUGCGAAAGCGUUUGCCUAGGACGUUCUCUUUAA
RNAcentral lists this ribosomal RNA (383 nucleotides) under uncultured eukaryote. RNAcentral's name for it is "partial 18S ribosomal RNA". It matches the Rfam family "Eukaryotic small subunit ribosomal RNA", at positions 592 to 976 of the family's 1831-position model. The record is from RNAcentral.